RNAcentral lists this long non-coding RNA (278 nucleotides) under Salvia miltiorrhiza (redroot sage). RNAcentral's name for it is "long non-coding RNA (SMIL_LNC002675)". Lineage: Eukaryota; Viridiplantae; Streptophyta; Magnoliopsida; Lamiales; Lamiaceae. The record is from RNAcentral.
AAACAAAAUAGUUUUCUCUCUCCUCUCUCUUAUUUUAUUUAUUUUCUUCAAUUAUCUAUUUUUUAGGAUAAUUAUUUAUUUUUCGUAUGAUGUUAUUUUACUUUUCCAUAUCAAUUGUUUAUUUUAUUUUAUUCUAUUUUAUUUGCUGCAUUUAUUUUAUUUUUUGAUUUUAUUUUCUUUUCUUUAAUUUUUCAUAACUUUUUACGGAUGAUUACUUUAGAAAUAUAAUGGAGUAUUAAAGUAUCUGCAUUAGUUUUAUUUUAAAAUUUUGUUUAUUU